This is a long non-coding RNA of Camelus dromedarius (Arabian camel), 434 nucleotides long. RefSeq lists it as uncharacterized. Lineage: Eukaryota; Metazoa; Chordata; Mammalia; Artiodactyla; Camelidae. The transcript has 3 exons. The record is from RefSeq and is a predicted model, not a curated record.
CUUCACCUACUGUAGUGUUUCCCCUCUGGUUAAUGAGUCCAGCAGUGCUGCUUAUCAGUGGAAGAAAGUGGUCUCCCCGUAACAUAAACAUAUACGUAGGUUGUUGUAAAUAUUGAUACAAGACCCCCACAUCUACCUUUUACCAGAUUCCUCUGCCUGCUGCCCGCCUGUUGGGGGGAAGAAAAGUUGUGCUCCUUACACCCCUAACCACACAAAUAGCUGCCAUAGCUGUGUGACCCUGCAUGAGGAAACUGAGGUUCACAAAGGAUCUGCAUCUCACACAGCUAGCAACAGACAGAACUCCCUAAACAAACUGCAUUAACGAGAUAAAACAGCUUCGAGCAGCCAAGAUCCUAGAGUGGACACCUUCAGUCAUGAAAGAGAGCCUGUUUUGUUCUGAGUGUGUCAAAGACUCGCGCGCCGGCCUCACCCUU